AGUGCAUCUUUUCUCCGAGUCCACAGUGCCUGUCGCCCUUGAAGGCUAUGGCCGUCGGACCGUCAGGGUUUACCUGGAAACAGGUAGGCCUCCCAAUGCGGAAAGGAGAUCAAAGCAGCCGACA
RNAcentral lists this non-coding RNA (124 nucleotides) under Thermacetogenium phaeum. RNAcentral describes it as "MoCo sequence". It matches the Rfam family "Molybdenum/Tungsten riboswitch aptamer (Moco RNA motif)". Lineage: Bacteria; Bacillati; Bacillota; Clostridia; Thermoanaerobacterales; Thermoanaerobacteraceae. The record is from RNAcentral. RNAcentral also lists the same sequence under 1 other name.